ACUCCUACGGGAGGCAGCAGUGAGGAAUAUUGGACAAUGGAUGGAAAUCUGAUCCAGCCAUGCCGCGUGCAGGAAGACAGCCCUAUGGGUUGUAAACUGCUUUUAUAUGGGAGCAAUAAGGUCUACGUGUAGACUGAUGAGAGUACCAUAUGAAUAAGCAUCGGCUAACUCCGUGCCAGCAGCCGCGGUAAUACGGAGGAUGCGAGCGUUAUCCGGAUUUAUUGGGUUUAAAGGGUGCGUAGGCGGCCGAGUAAGUCAGCGGUGAAAUUUUGCAGCUUAACUGUAACAGUGCCGUUGAUACUGCAUGGCUAGGAUUUGGUUGCUGUGGGUGGAAUGUGUGGUGUAGCGGUGAAAUGCUUAGAUAUCACACAGAAUAUCAAUUGCGAAGGCAGCUCACAAAGCCAAGAUUGACGCUGAGGCACGAAAGUGUGGGGAUCAAACAGGAUUAGAUACCCUGGUAGUC
This 463-nucleotide ribosomal RNA is filed under the name uncultured bacterium. Its description in RNAcentral is "bacterial SSU rRNA". It matches the Rfam family "Bacterial small subunit ribosomal RNA", at positions 335 to 795 of the family's 1533-position model. The record is from RNAcentral.